Molecule: long non-coding RNA, 1280 nt
Filed under: Brassica rapa (field mustard)
Lineage: Eukaryota; Viridiplantae; Streptophyta; Magnoliopsida; Brassicales; Brassicaceae
Description: long non-coding RNA (BRAP_LNC000183)
Source: RNAcentral
GAUGCCUUUUUAUAGGUAUCAGAUUGCAAAAAAGUUGAAAAGGACUGUAAUGAGAAGUAGUGGGUUCUCGAAUUUACUAAAAUUAAAUGUGAAGAUUAAUGGUUUGUUCUUAAAGUGAUUUGCGACGUUACUCUAAUGAUAAUCUUAGCUCUGCCUAGAAAAGUGAUUAGGGUUCUGGAGAGGAUGACUAAGAACGAAAGUACUCUUCUUGAGUCGGGGCCCAAUUGCUAUGUUUGGAAAAACAAUGCUAUUUGGGUUAUAUGCCCACGAAAGAUAGUAAGGAGAAGUGUCGACCAGAACUGACUAUAUUAAACAAACAAUCCAUGGGCCCAAAUGUUUGAUAGGCCAUAACCGGAGAAUCCCAAGUCCGUAAACAUCAGAAACAAAAGAGAAAAUAAAGGCUGGCGUGUCAGCAUUUGCCCACCCUUCUCUGCUGAGCUGGACCUUCUAAGGAGAGACUAAAAUCUCAUUUAUUGUAUAAGAACUAGGGAUUAACCCGGGCUACGCCCGGGAUUUUUAUGUUUUUUUCAAUUUAAGUUGUUAAAUUAUUUAUAUUUAGGUUAUGAUAUAUAUUUAUAUAAAUGUUAAGAUGCAUGUCAUAAUUAAAAUUUAUUUUUAAAUUUUAACACAUUAAAUUAACAUAUUUUUUACUAUUUAAAUAUUUUUUUGGAAUUUUGUUGGCUAUCUAGUUAUCAUAUUUAGCAAAGUUAUCUGUUGAGUGUUGGAAUAAAUGUUUUAGAUAUUUAAUCAAACUGCAGAGUAUUUUCGGAUCGACCAUAUGCUAAACAAUCGAUCGAUCCGUAAAAAGAUGGUCGAUCUCCUUAGCCAGGUAAGUACAAUUUUAGCAAAAAUAUCUUUGAUUUUUAAAUAUUAAGUAUAUAACUAUUCUUUUGAAUAUUGUUUUUUUGAAUUGUAUUUUCUGAUUAAGUCAUUGUAUUAUAAUGUUUAUGUAAAUAUUUUUUUGUGAUGUUUGAAUUUGUGUUGUUCGUAUACUUAACCUAGAUGAUAUUGAUGUUUAACAAUUUAUUGUUUUCUGGAAAUAGAAAAUAAUGAUAUAUCAAAACAUAUCUAAUACUUAUUAAAUGAUAGUAUAAUGUAAAUUACAUCCAUUAUUUGAAAAUACCAUUUGUUGUUUUUAUUUUAUUUUUAAAUCAGAAAUUCUUUUUAUUUAAAAACAUUAUUCAUAUAUAGUAUAAUAGUUUAAGUUUGGAAGAUUAAUAUAUAUAUAUAUAUAUAUAUAUAUAAAUUAUGUAUAUUUAAAAAAAAAAUUUAAGAAAUUA